GUGGGGAAUAUUGGACAAUGGGCGAAAGCCUGAUCCAGCAAUGCCGCGUGAGUGAAGAAGGCCUUCGGGUUGUAAAGCUCUUUUACCCGGGAAGAUAAUGACUGUACCGGGAGAAUAAGCCCCGGCUAACUCCGUGCCAGCAGCCGCGGUAAUACGGAGGGGGCUAGCGUUGUUCGGAAUUACUGGGCGUAAAGCGCACGUAGGCGGUCUUUUAAGUCAGAGGUGAAAGCCCGGGGCUCAACUCCGGAAUUGCCUUUGAAACUGGAAGACUUGAACACGGGAGAGGUGAGUGGAAUUCCGAGUGUAGAGGUGAAAUUCGUAGAUAUUCGGAGGAACACCAGUGGCGAAGGCGGCUCACUGGACCGUUGUUGACGCUGAGGUGCGAAAGCGUGGGGAGCAAACAGGAUUAGAAACCCCAGUAGUCC
This 425-nucleotide ribosomal RNA is filed under the name uncultured bacterium. RNAcentral's name for it is "partial 16S ribosomal RNA". It matches the Rfam family "Bacterial small subunit ribosomal RNA", at positions 354 to 796 of the family's 1533-position model. The record is from RNAcentral.